GUGGGGAAUCUUGCGCAAUGGGCGAAAGCCUGACGCAGCAACGCCGCGUGCGGGAUGAAGGCCUUCGGGUUGUAAACCGCUUUCAGCAGGGACGAAAAUGACGGUACCUGCAGAAGAAGCUCCGGCUAACUACGUGCCAGCAGCCGCGGUAAUACGUAGGGAGCAAGCGUUGUCCGGAUUUAUUGGGCGUAAAGAGCUCGUAGGCGGUUUCGUAAAUCGAGUGUGAAAAAUCUGGGCUUAACCCAGUGGAGCACUCGAUACUGCGAUGACUUGAGUCUGGUAGAGGAGUGUGGAAUUCCUGGUGUAGCGGUGAAAUGCGCAGAUAUCAGGAGGAACACCAACGGCGAAGGCAGCACUCUGGGCCAGUACUGACGCUGAGGAGCGAAAGCGUGGGGAGCAAACAGGAUUAGAAACCCUAGUAGUCC
This 425-nucleotide ribosomal RNA is filed under the name uncultured bacterium. RNAcentral describes it as "partial 16S ribosomal RNA". It matches the Rfam family "Bacterial small subunit ribosomal RNA", at positions 354 to 796 of the family's 1533-position model. The record is from RNAcentral.